Non-coding RNA from Parelaphostrongylus tenuis, 73 nucleotides. Lineage: Eukaryota; Metazoa; Nematoda; Chromadorea; Rhabditida; Metastrongylidae. The record is from the annotation of a GenBank genome assembly.
GCGUCGGUAGUGCAACGGUUCAGCACGCGCUCUCGGAUACAGUGAAAUGUGCGUUCGAAUCCCAGCUGACGCA